CGACUGCAGAGUGCCACUUCGUGGCGCAGUGGCUGCGGCAGAAGUUGGACCUGGAAGCAGACCCGUGUGAAGACUUCUACCGUUUUGUAUGCGGCACCUUCCAGGGGCCGGGAAGCGACGUUUACUUUCAGACUACCCAUGUUAUGAAAAGCAUCACAAUAGGAGCUGCGUACGCCACCCGUGUUCCAGCCACUGGUCAGACUUCAUGGCAAAAAGCUGCCGGCAUGUUCCAGGCCUGUGUUUCCCUCAUCGAGUCGAACCGCAGCGAAACGAGUGACCUUGUAGCAUGGAUGACUUCGAUUGAUUUGGACCUGAGCAACCAGGCAGUGCUACAGAGCGUCGAC
Dermacentor silvarum is the source of this 344-nucleotide long non-coding RNA. RefSeq lists it as uncharacterized. Lineage: Eukaryota; Metazoa; Arthropoda; Arachnida; Ixodida; Ixodidae. The transcript has 3 exons. The record is from RefSeq and is a predicted model, not a curated record.